This 1092-nucleotide ribosomal RNA is filed under the name Triticum aestivum (bread wheat). RNAcentral's name for it is "partial small subunit ribosomal RNA". The record is from RNAcentral. Lineage: Eukaryota; Viridiplantae; Streptophyta; Magnoliopsida; Poales; Poaceae.
AUGGUCUUGAUCUGGUACGGCGUCGCCCACUUCAUUGAGCACCCACUCCCGCCCAACUUUGACGCCGCCACCCACGAACUUGAUGCCAAUCUCGUUCUCUGGAUCUACGCCACACUCGCCGAUCCCCUUAUUGACCACGUCGUCGAUGCCGCCUCCACGUACGAGCUCUAGGCUCGGAUUCGUGACUACUUCCUCGCCAAUCGGGCAGCCCGGUACAUGACACUCAACCGGCAGUACCACAAUCUCAAGCAGGGGGAUCUCUCCGUCGCGGAGUACGCUCGCCGCAUGAAGCUUCUCACCGCCGGACUUGCGGAUAUCGAUCACGCGGUCACUGAGGUGGAUCUCACCACCCAGUUCCUCCACAACAUCGACAAACGCCUCGACACCAUCCGCAUUGUUUUGGGCGACACCGUUCCCUUGUCGCCGUUCGAGACGGUGUUCUCCCGCCUUAAGCUUGCGGAGGAGAACCUGGCCUAGCGCACCGCCAACGAGCCCGUCACCAUCCUCUCCGUCACCGACGGUUCCGCUCCUCCUGGGAGCUCGUCCGGCCAGGCCGGCCCGUCGGGCACCCGCACCGGUGAUCGCGGUGACUGCUCCGUCGAGCGCGGUCCCGAUCACGGCGGCAUGGACACCAGCAAGGCCCCUGCUCCGGCACUCUCCAGGAGGGCAGUGACCGUGGACGCGGGCGCGGGCGUGGCCAUGGCCGUGGACGCGACCGUGGUGAUCAGGGGCAGCGCGGCUUCAACAACUUCUCUGCGCCCCUGCCCAAUCCCUACAUGGACUUCUUCGCCCCCUACGAGAUGGCACUGCCCAAUCCGCGCCCCAACUGGGUUCCUCCGAACUCUGCUGGCGUGCUCGGUACGUGGCCCGGCUCGCAUGCUCAGGCCUACCAGAUGCAGUUCUCGGGCUACCCUAGGCCGCCUCCUCCACAACAGCCGUCGUGGGAUCACCUCGCGAUGCUACAGGCCGCCUACAACGCUCACGGCUUCCCCAACACUGGCUCUGCGCCAAAUGAAUGGUACCUCGACGGCAGUGCCACGUCCCACGUCACCGGCAACCCUGGUAACCUCGACCACUCUAAUUCUUCUUUAA